Molecule: ribosomal RNA, 1536 nt
Filed under: Skrjabinotaenia sp. EH9
Lineage: Eukaryota; Metazoa; Platyhelminthes; Cestoda; Cyclophyllidea; Catenotaeniidae
Description: partial large subunit ribosomal RNA
Rfam family: Eukaryotic large subunit ribosomal RNA
Source: RNAcentral
CACCGAAGCCUGCGGUAUAUUUGCUGUUAGGCAAUGUGGUGUUUGGGUCGGCUGGCGGGACCGUAACUCCACUCGAAGUCCAGCAUUGAGUAUGGUUAUCAUUGGAUUUGGCCCAUAGAGGGUGAGAGGCCCGUACGAGUGGAGGUGCAGACAUGUGAGACGGUUCACCAGGUCGGCCUUAGAGUCGGGUUGUUUGAGAUUGCAGCCCAAAGUGGGUGGUAAACUCCAUCCAAGGCUAAAUACGGGCACGAGUCCGAUAGCGAACAAGUACCGUGAGGGAAAGUUGAAAAGUACUCUGAAGAGAGAGUAAACAGUACGUGAAACCGCAUGCAGGUAAACGGGUGGCGUCAAACCGCGAGCCCGGAGGAUUCAGCUGGCUGGGUUGUAUUGUGUUCUAGUGGUCCGCUCUCUCUUUGUGAGGGUGGAGUGAAGUGUGAGGUGUGUGUGUAUGUGUGGCUGGGUAUUACGCACUUGUGGUGUAGUGCCAUYGUCAUUGUGCCUGCCCCUCCUYUUGAGCUAUGUGUGCCGGGUGUGUGCCGGAAUAUGCCACUAGUUUGUAGGGCGGCCUGGUCAGUGCAUUUUCUCUGUGGUAAACAUCACGANCCGAUGGAAUUGCCAGUCCACCGUGGUCAAGUUGUGCUCAUGUGACUGUUGGGUGUGGGGGGCCGUUGGUUUACCUUCUUCCCCCUCUCUCAAUUUAGCUAUGUGGGCGUGAUCGCAGGUGGAGCGAGUAAACGGCGUAGUGAUGUUUCGGCAUUGCUACGUGCUAUCGUGUACUUACCGCCAACGAGUUGUUGUGUAGUGGAUGUGACUUGACUACAUAGCGACUUGGCGGACUGCGGUGGUAAAAAUGACUGUGCAAGGCAUCGGCUUUAUCCACCUCACAUGUAUGUAUGUAUGCGUCUGUUAUGGGCGUAUAUGUAUGUAUGUGUAUGUAUCCGGCAGGUGUUUCACAUACGCCAUUUUUGGAGGCGCGUUGCUGUGUGUAUACAUUAUGCGUGAUUGCCGUUUUGCCUACAAAAAGUAGGUGCGGCAGUGGUAUAGUGUAUUAUUAGAUGCACGGUAUUUUUACGCUGUCUCUAAGUAUGCAUGUGAUACAGUGGGUGUAAUAGUCAGUGAUGCUGUGGUAGACGAGCUACCCGACCCGUCUCGAAACACGGACCAAGGAGUUUAACAUGUGUGCGAGUCAAAGGGCUUUACGAAACCCCAAGGCGUAGUGAAAGUAAAAUUUGUAUUAUCCUAUCCUUUGUGGUAAGAUUAUACAAUGUGGUGAGAUCUUACUGUGUAUUUAUUUAUUUAUUGAAGCAGUGAGCGCAUCACCGGCCCGUCCCAUGAUGUGGUCAUUGGCUAUUGGCUAUUAAUGUGCACAUUAGUGUAUAUUAGUGUCAGCUGAUGCGUCAUCGGGGCGGAGCAUGAGCACACACGUUGAGACCCGAAAGAUGGUGAACUAUGCUUGCGUAGGUUGAAGCCAGAGGAAACUCUGGUGGAGGACCGUAGCGAUUCUGACGUGCAAAUCGAUCGUCAAACGUGAGUAUA